This 1439-nucleotide ribosomal RNA is filed under the name metagenome. RNAcentral describes it as "bacterial SSU rRNA". It matches the Rfam family "Bacterial small subunit ribosomal RNA". The record is from RNAcentral.
GUUUGAUCCUGGCUCAGGAUGAACGCUGGCGGCGUGCUUAACACAUGCAAGUCGAACGAACCUUCGGGUUAGUGGCGGACGGGUGAGUAACGCGUGGGAAUCUGCCCUCAGGAGGGGGAUAACGGCUGGAAACGGCCGCUAAUACCCCAUAUGCCGAGAGGUGAAAAGAAAUUCGCCUGAGGAUGAGCCCGCGUCUGAUUAGCUAGUUGGUGGGGUAAGAGCUCACCAAGGCGACGAUCAGUAGCUGGUAUGAGAGGAUGAUCAGCCACACUGGGACUGAGACACGGCCCAGACUCCUACGGGAGGCAGCAGUGGGGAAUUUUCCGCAAUGGGCGAAAGCCUGACGGAGCAACGCCGCGUGAGGGAUGAAGGCCUCUGGGCUGUAAACCUCUUUUCUCAAGGAAGAAGACAUGACGGUACUUGAGGAAUAAGCCACGGCUAAUUCCGUGCCAGCAGCCGCGGUAAUACGGGAGUGGCAAGCGUUAUCCGGAAUUAUUGGGCGUAAAGCGUCCGCAGGCGGCCCUGUAAGUCUGUCGUUAAAGCGUGGAGCUUAACUCCAUUUAAGCGAUGGAAACUACAGGGCUUGAGUGUGGUAGGGGCAGAGGGAAUUCCCGGUGUAGCGGUGAAAUGCGUAGAUAUCGGGAAGAACACCAGUGGCGAAGGCGCUCUGCUGGGCCAUAACUGACGCUCAUGGACGAAAGCCAGGGGAGCGAAAGGGAUUAGAUACCCCUGUAGUCCUGGCCGUAAACGAUGAACACUAGGUGUCGGGGGAAUCGACCCCCUCGGUGUCGUAGCCAACGCGUUAAGUGUUCCGCCUGGGGAGUACGCACGCAAGUGUGAAACUCAAAGGAAUUGACGGGGGCCCGCACAAGCGGUGGAGUAUGUGGUUUAAUUCGAUGCAACGCGAAGAACCUUACCAGGGUUUGACAUCCUGCGAAUCCCUUGGAAACGAGGGAGUGCCUUCGGGAGCGCAGAGACAGGUGGUGCAUGGCUGUCGUCAGCUCUCUCGUGAGAUGUUGGGUUAAGUCCCGCAACGAGCGCAACCCACGUCUUUAGUUGCCAGCAUUCAGUUGGGCACUCUAGAGAGACCGCCGGUGAUAAACCGGAGGAAGGUGUGGAUGACGUCAAGUCAUCAUGCUCCUUACAUCCUGGGCUACACACGUACUACAAUGCUACGGACAAAGGGCAGCAAGCUCGCGAGAGUUAGCAAAUCCCAUAAACCGUGGCUCAGUUCAGAUCGUAGGCUGCAACUCGCCUACGUGAAGGAGGAAUCGCUAGUAAUCGCAGGUCAGCAUACUGCGGUGAAUACGUUCCCGGGCCUUAUACACACCGCCCGUCACACCAUGGAAGUUGGCCAUGCCCGAAGUCGUUACUCCAACCCUUGUGGAGGAGGACGCCGAAGGUGGGGCUGAUGACUGGGGUGAAGUCGUAACAAGGUA